GGGGUCGAUUCGGCACGGACGUGUUCCGAUCGAAAAGUCAGGGUGGUCGGUCAGGUGAACGAUAUCCGUGUAUAUAGUUAUAUUGCAGGAACCCUAGGAAACGAGCUUACUGGUGCAUUCCGGGUUCAGCUCUCCGGCGAAGGCUCCUCGCGCGCGUGCAGGAGCACCCGCGCGUUCGUUCGUCUGACGCUUAAUACCAGUUUCACGGCUUGAUAAGCCGAAGCGUGUAAUUUUGCAGCGGCUCCGGAGUCGGAUAAGCACCAGGUUUUCUAGUUAAGUGGACCACAAAAUUCGGGGAAGCCUAUAUAAGGCUUUUCGAGGUAGAAGGCGAUCAGUCGAGCCACAGAGCUCUCCGGCACACCAUCCGCGAUCGAAUUGUUCCUCGUUUCUCUGUAGUUUUUCUAUCGUUUCUCCGGCUCCAUUCAGUUUCCGGUCAUUCCUUCUUUUUUUUAUCCUUGUGCGAUUUGUAUUUGGCCCUUUCCAGUCGAAAACCUGACUCUUAAAACUCAGUCAGACAACCAAUUAGCAAAGAGAGGAUCCUAACCUUACAGAGGGCUGAAAGCUCGCUUACAACUCAGUUCGAGCUCCAAAAACGGAAAAUCGCGAGCGAGACGGUGAAAGAUAAAAACGAAGACGCUUGGUCGACGGCAAAAGGAAUGCCGAGGAGAGGCACCGAAGAGAGGAGAGACGGAACGGACGGCGAGAGAGCAACCUCGCCAUACACUCGUAUAAAGAAGAAGGGCAAAACGAGAGGAGCAUCAUAUGGAAAAGAGGGAGGACGGGUUAAGGAGGUAGCGCGGGAAGAAGGUUCGUACAGCCGAAUCGAGGAUGUAGACAGGAAGGAUGUUCGUCGAGUGCCAUCGACUUAACUCGUGGUAUGGCACAGCGAGCACGAGCCCAUCCUCUUCGGGGCUCUGAAGAGAGCCAAGCCGGCAUAAUAAGCUUUGUGCGCCGACUGUCGACGUCGGAUUCCCACUCACGAAGGGCUGAAGAGGCCAGCCGGAAGCGGCUGCAUCGGCAGCAGUAGCGACAACGCCGAGGAGCACACCGGUAACAGAAACCUUUGCCUGCGCGGGAGUUUGCCCAUACGCGAGAACAUCCGAAGAAUCGAGCAUCUGCUUGUGAAACCAGUCCACCUCUCACGGCGAAUGCUCCCGCCCUACGUAGGUAUGUACAUGUUCCGCUGAAAAAUCUAGAAUGUUAAUUACCAGCCUACAUUCUGCUCCGACGAUCUUUACGUUCAGUAAGAUCUACUCCUCUUAGCUGGUGGAGAUCGUGUACUGUCAGCCCUUUGCCUGGCCCACUUUCUCCCUCUUGGAAACACCAUCUCUUGAAAGUGGAAAUUGUUCUUCUCUCUUCCGGGAUCUUGAGUCAAGUUUGGAAACUUGAUAGGUUCGAUUUAGGACAGCGAGGACUUGGAUCGAGGUCUGAUUGAUUCUCGGGGUAGAAUGGUUUGCUUUAUGCGAGAAUGGGGUUAAAGGAUUGGUGUAAUCGGGGUAGGUAAUGAUUCUGAAUCGACGAGAGAGAAGCAGAAGAUCAUAUAUAUUAUAUAUUAUAACUAGUGGAUUUUACUUUGGAUAUUUUAUAUACUUUUGUACAUUAUCCAAUAUAAAUUUCUCAGUAAUGCGUAAAUAGCUGCAGUCUGAUCGGACACAAGUCCAAUCUAAUCUCAUCUAAUCCUAUUAAUGCAACACCAAACCUGUCAGUGUCAUAUUAAAUUUUUAACUUUAAUACAAUCCUUCGUUCACUCAAGAAUUUCACGUAAGAAAUUUUACUU
Long non-coding RNA from Bombus impatiens (common eastern bumble bee), 1777 nucleotides. RefSeq lists it as uncharacterized. The record is from RefSeq and is a predicted model, not a curated record. The transcript is spliced from 2 exons. Lineage: Eukaryota; Metazoa; Arthropoda; Insecta; Hymenoptera; Apidae.